This 253-nucleotide ribosomal RNA is filed under the name uncultured bacterium. RNAcentral describes it as "partial 16S ribosomal RNA". It matches the Rfam family "Bacterial small subunit ribosomal RNA", at positions 524 to 776 of the family's 1533-position model. The record is from RNAcentral.
UACGUAGGUGGCAAGCGAUACUCGGAAUCACUAGGCGUAAAGCGCAGGUAGGCGGUUCGGUAAGUCUUUUGUGAAAGCUCCUGGCUCAACUGGGAGAGGUCAAAGGAAACUACCGGACUAGAGUUUGGUAGGGGAUACUGGAACUCCUGGUGUAGCGGUGAAAUGCGUAGAUAUCAGGAGGAAUACCUAUGGCGAAAGCAGGUAUCUGGGCCACAACUGACGCUGAGCUGCGAAAGCUAGGGGAGCAAACAGG